RNAcentral lists this ribosomal RNA (306 nucleotides) under uncultured bacterium. Its description in RNAcentral is "bacterial SSU rRNA". It matches the Rfam family "Bacterial small subunit ribosomal RNA", at positions 28 to 334 of the family's 1533-position model. The record is from RNAcentral.
GAUGAACGCUGGCGGCGUGCCUAAUACAUGCAAGUCGAACGGGAAGCUAUCCUUCGGGAUAGUGGAGAGUGGCGCCCGGGUGAGUAACACGUAGCUGAUCUGCCCUUCGCUGGGGGAUAACAUCGAGAAAUCGGUGCUAAUACCGCGUACGCUUGAGAGUCUUAGAAUCUCUUAAGGAAAGCUCCGGCGGCGAAGGAGGAGGCUGCGUUCCAUCAGCUAGUUGGUGUGGUAAAAGCAUACCAAGGCGACGACGGAUAGGGGACCUGAGAGGGUGACCCCCCACACUGGUACUGACACACGGACCAG